GGGAGUAAUACCCGAUUCGUGACCGAUGCUGGAAUGCUUGGUAACAUAAAGCUCCGGCGCCCGAGGAUGGGUCUGCGGCGGAUUAGGUUGUCGCCGGUGUAACGUACCGACGAGCCGAUAAUCCGUACGGGUUGUGAGAGCAAGAGCCCGGAGAUGGAUUCUGAGACACGAAUCCAGGCCCUACGGGGCGCAGCAGGCGCGGAAACUUUACAAUGCAGGAAACUGCGAUAAGGGAACUCUGAGUGUUUGGGACAUUCUCAAACUGUUCGGGUACCUAAAUAGUAUCUGAUAGUAAGGGCCGGGCAAGACCGGUGCCAGCCGCCGCGGUAACACCGGCGGCCCGAGUGGUAACCGAUAUUAUUGAGCUUAAAGGGCCCGUAGCCGGCUUGGCAAGUCCCUUGGGAAAUCUAACGGCUUAACCGUUAGGCGUUCAGGGGAUACUACCAGGCUUGGGACCGGGAGAGGCAGGAGGUACUCCGGGGGUAGGGGUGAAAUCCUGUAAUCCUCGGGGGGACCACCGGUGGCGAAGGCGUCCUACCAGAACGGCUCCGACGGUGAGGGACGAAAGCUAGGGGCA
RNAcentral lists this ribosomal RNA (577 nucleotides) under uncultured archaeon. Its description in RNAcentral is "bacterial SSU rRNA". It matches the Rfam family "Archaeal small subunit ribosomal RNA", at positions 142 to 719 of the family's 1478-position model. The record is from RNAcentral.